UUACCCAAUCCUGACACAGGGAGGUAGUGACAAGAAAUAACAAAGCAAGCCCUUAGGGGCGCUGCGUUGGAAUGAGUAGAAUUUAAAUCUCUUUACGACUAUCGAUUGGAGGGCAAGUCUGGUGCCAGCAGCCGCGGUAAUUCCAGCUCCAAUAGCGUAUAUUAAAGUUGUUGCGGUUAAAAAGCUCGUAGUUGGAUUUCUGUUGAGUUCGGGCGGUGUACACUUCGUGUAUUAUUUGCUUCGGGUUCGGCAUCCUCUUGGGGAACGUUCCGGACUUUAUUGGACGGGCGGGAUUCAAGACUUUUACUUUGAGGAAAUUAGAGUGUUCACGGCAGGCAAGUGCUUUGAAUACAUUAGCAUGGAAUAAUAAUAUAGGACCUUCGUUCUGUUUUGUUGGUUUCUAGAACUUAGGUAAUGAUUAAUAGGGACAAUUGGGGGCAUUCGUAUUAACGCGUCAGAGGUGGAAUUCUUGGAUUGCGUUACGACGAACUACUGCGAAAGCAUUUGCCAAAGAUGUUCUCAUUGAUCAAGAACGAAAGUAUGGGGAUCGAAGACGCUUAGAUACCGUCGUAGUCUAUACCAUAAACUAUGCCAACUAGAGAUCGGAGGGGUUAUCCUAUGUGGCUCCUUCGGCAUCUUAUGAGAAAUCAAAGUUUUUGGGUUCCGGGGGGAGUAUGGUCGCAAGGCUGAAACUUAAAGGAAUUGACGGAAGGGCACCACCAGGAGUGGAGCCUGCGGCUUAAUUUGACUCAACACGGGGAAACUUACCAGGUCCAGACAUAGUAAGGAUUGA
This 793-nucleotide ribosomal RNA is filed under the name uncultured marine Syndiniales. Its description in RNAcentral is "SSU rRNA". It matches the Rfam family "Eukaryotic small subunit ribosomal RNA", at positions 441 to 1243 of the family's 1831-position model. The record is from RNAcentral. Lineage: Eukaryota; Dinophyceae; Syndiniales.